GGGGGAACUUACAAACAGAAGCUUGGUCUUAGGCAGCUGGCUACAAGACAGGUAAAUCUCUGCACUGCAAUCGCCCAGACCCAGGAUGUGUAUCUUGAGGAAAAAGUAUCUAUACUCUGGAAGGAAUAUGUAGGUGGCUAUAAGCAUCACAGCCUAUGAUUUCUACAACAUUAUCAAGGGUUGUUUUGAGGGAAACUUACAAUGAAUAACUGUUCCUACAUAAACAGUAAUACAUCACCUAGACAUUUUGGAGGCAUUCCCAGACUUGGGGUUAGUCAGCAGAUUAGCAUUUAAAAUAAAGUCACUUAUGUCCCUACUAGUGCCUAAAAAGCAUUUAGAUCAAUGUCAGCAUAAAGGAGACUGGACUGCAAAACAGAACUGUGUGCAAAGGGAAUUUGUUGAAAUAAACAGGCUGCACCCUCUGGGACAGAGAAGCAUGGUCACCUGGGAAGGAGAGAAAAGGGAGCUUGGGUCACUCCAGUAUCAGCAGCCAGCUCAGAAAUGUAGACCUGCACAAAAUAAUACCCAGGCAGCUAUGAGAAUAUCUGUUGCAGCCAAGAGGGCACCCUGCCUUCUCUUUUCAUAUCCAGUGAAGACUGUCCCUCUCCGUGACACCAUGGCUGGAGGAAGUGGAUACACCGUGCCUGCUGCAUCUGAGGGCUGAAAUGCAAGAUCUUCAAAGUCUCCCUCUGAUGCCGAGCCGAGGCUGGACUGUACUGCCGCCAUCUCCGCUCACUGCAACCUCCCUGCCUGAUUCUCCUGCCUCAGCCUGCCGAGUGCCUGGGAUUGCAGGCGCGCGCCGCCACGCCUGACUGGUUUUUGUAUUUUUUGGUGGAGACGGGGUUUCGCGGUGUUGGCCGGGCUGGUCUCCAGCUCCUGACCGCGAGUGAUCUGCCCGCCUCAGCCUCCCGAGGUGCCGGGAUUGCAGACUGAGUCUCGCUCACUCAGUGCUCAAUGUUGCCCAGGCUGGAGUGCAGUGGCGUGAUCUCGGCUCGCUACAACCUUCACCUCCCAGCCGCCUGCCUUGGCCUCCCAAAGUGCCGAGAUUGCAGCCUCUGCCCGGCCGCCACCCCGUCUGGGAAGUGAGGAGCGUCUCUGCCCGGCCACCCAUCGUCUGAGAUGUGGGGAGCGCCUCUGCCCCGCCACCCAUCGUCUGGGAUGUGGGGAGCGCCUCUGCCCCGCCACGACCCCGUCUGGGAACUGAGGAGUGUCUCUGCCCGACCGCCACCCCGUCUGGGAGGUGAGGAGCGUCUCUGCCCGGCCGCCCUGUCUGAGAAGUGAGGAGCCCCUCCGCCCGGCAGCCACCCCAUCUGGGAAGUGAGGAGAGUCUCCGCCCGGCAGCCGCCCCGUCCGGGAGGUGGGGGGCAACUCCGCCUGGCCGACGCCCCGUCUGGGAGGUGGGGGGCGCCUCUGCCCGGCUGCCACCCCGUCUGGGAGGUGUACCCAACAGCUCAUUGAGAACGGGCCAGGAUGACGAUGGCGGUUUUGUCGAAUAGAAAAGGGGGAAAUGUGGGGAAAAGAAAGAUAAAUCAGAUUGUUACUGUGUCUGUGUAGAAAGAAGUAGACAGAGGAGACUCUAUUUUGUUCUGUACUAAGAAAAAUUCUUCUGCCUUGGGAAAAAAAAAUAAAGUUCUUUUAGUAAAUGUUUGAAAACUCUGAUAACUUGACAUAUAUAUAUAUAUAUAUAUAUAUAUAUAUAUAUAUAUAUAUACACACACACACACACAUAUACACACAUAUAUGAGAUGUGAGAUGUGCAUAUGUGGUGAAUAUGUGUGAAAGAGAGAUGCAUACCUCUCCAGUUCCCCUGAGUCUUUGAAUCAGAGGGCAUUCCAUUAACUCCAACACAAAUGCCAGUAGUUCUCACUCCCAUUUGUCUCACCAAACCUCCAACUAUCAUGUCCUGUAUUUCUAGGAGUCUCCAGGAGGUGUCUCCAUGUGCUGCUCCCAGUCCUGCUGGCCACGCCCUGCCCCACUGGUCAUCACAGUUCAUCCAGAUCCUCCUCUAAGAUACAAGAGAAUGACUCACUUCUUCCAGUUAGAUGUGGGAAACUUACACUUGUCCUAUGAGUUCUGGACUGUUUGUUCAGCUACUUACAAACGCCAUUUCGUUACAGCAGCCACGGGGAAGCAGUGGAUGAGAAGCAGGAAUAAUAUAGGCCAUUGUCAUCGGUAUUGCAAGAGUUGCAUAAGGCCCAAUUCAGUCUCUGCCCCAAAAGCUCAAGUCCAAACUUCAGAAUCUGGGAGGACAAGGAUUCAGGAAAUUUUGUCAGAACUAUGAGCUUUGAACUUUCACUUUUAUGGUGAGGGUCACAUUUGGUCUGAAUCAAUUAAUCCAUU
Molecule: long non-coding RNA, 2340 nt
Organism: Homo sapiens (human)
Lineage: Eukaryota; Metazoa; Chordata; Mammalia; Primates; Hominidae
Exons: 4
Source: RefSeq, marked validated